Long non-coding RNA from Manacus vitellinus (golden-collared manakin), 1047 nucleotides. The record is from Ensembl. Lineage: Eukaryota; Metazoa; Chordata; Aves; Passeriformes; Pipridae.
UUAGGCCUCUUAACUUUGUAAGAGUCUGUUUUAUUUCUUUAUGGGGGUGUAAUUAAGUUUUACAAUCCAUUUGUUUUAUUUUGAUAUAAUCACCCAUUUGUUUCACGAAUCACAAUUAUUUAUAUAUCACAUUAUUGACUCCAAACAAGGCAGUUUAUUAGCACAAAAUGUGUCUACGUUCUGUUUCCAAGUGAACAUUUUCUGCACCCAGCACUGCUGUGUCUCAUCAGCUCUUCCAUACCAGCAAAAUCUUGGAGGGAGUAGAAAAUGAGAACGUUGUACUACUCUCCUCGUAAAGAGAAAUCCAGGAGUGAGUGAAAACUUUAUAAGGAUCACAUUUCCCAAGCAAUCUCACUUUCCAGGAGAGGUUGUCCACAUGUUCACAGUGCUGCUACCAGUGAACAGGGAUGGGCUGUUCUCUCCUCCCUCCAUCAGGCUUCUGUUCAACUACUGCUGUCUUUUCAUCUUGGUUACUUUUUACCUCUGUUUUUAUCUUAGUUACUCAUUGGCAAAGAUUGGGCUUCAUAAGUUUGCAAAGUGAAAGAAUUUUACAAGGGUAAAAAAAAAAAAAAGAGAUGCCUGAAAAUACCGCAAAAUUCAUCCCUCUUGACUCUGCUUUUUAUUUAAUGCCUAGAUGAAAAUAUUACCUCCUGAGUCUCCGUGUGUGUGGCUGAGUCCCCGGGACACCUGCCAAGACAGGAAUUUUAGAUGCCCGAAAUCAUGUGCUCAGCAGGUGUAAAUUGUGUGCAGGGAGAGUUCACCUUUUGUCCUGAACCCCAGAGGCAGUUUCUCUUCAUUAGCAAGGGAAGAUGGGGAAGAAGAUUAUCCUCGUUUCCUGACUGCAUGCCAAAGUUAUGUAUCAUAAGGAGAAAAUCUGUUCAUACGUUCACAAAUAUGUUUGCUCCUAAUCUGUCUUCAGGAGAGUGUCUUUGUGAGGAGCAAGGGGUGCUGAUGAUCGCAGGAGAGCUGAGACGGAGGGACAGGAACAGACGCAGAAUUUCUCUGCCGAGAUUUUUUACCAGUGGGAUCCACGGUGGAUAUUUUUAA